Molecule: ribosomal RNA, 274 nt
Filed under: uncultured soil bacterium
Lineage: Bacteria
Description: partial 16S ribosomal RNA
Rfam family: Bacterial small subunit ribosomal RNA
Source: RNAcentral
AGAAUCAACGCUGGCGGCGUGCCUCAGACAUGCAAGUCGAACGCGAAAGCCCCCCUUCGGGGGGCAAGUAGAGUGGCGCACGGGUGAGUAACACGUAGGUAAUCUACCUUCGGAUGGGGAAUAACAAUCGGAAACGGUUGCUAAUACCGCAUAAUGCAGCGGCACCUAAUGGUGACAGUUGUUAAAGCGGGGGAUCGAAAGACCUCGCGUCUGAAGAGGAGCCUGCGGCGGAUUAGCUAGUUGGUAAGGUAAUGGCUUACCAAGGCUACGAUCC